Molecule: long non-coding RNA, 373 nt
Organism: Tyto alba (common barn owl)
Lineage: Eukaryota; Metazoa; Chordata; Aves; Strigiformes; Tytonidae
Exons: 3
Source: RefSeq, a predicted model, not a curated record
CUCGGCUCGGCUCGGCUGGGAUAUGCUCGGCUCAGCUCGGCUCGGCGGUGCGAGCGGAGGUGUGCGGCUCGGCUCGGCUCGGCCUGGCACGGUCCGGUUCGGCUCGAGAAUGAGAAAUUCUCCAGUGCACUCAUUUGGUGUUAUUCACAAGUCUCUUUGAGCAUCAGAUUGCACAUUUCCUAAGAGCUCUGAUUCAUCCCUCCCAGACUCUAGAACAAAUACUCCAAAAUCAGUCUGCAGCAUGGGGACAAGCUUUGUUCAGUGCUUUGAAAGAGAGCAGGUAAAGUCAUUACCCUCACUUUGCAUAGCAAAAAUGAUAUGCAUAAAGCUGCAUAGAACAACCCUGCAAAGCUCAAAGGAAACAAAUGGGCGA